RNAcentral lists this ribosomal RNA (488 nucleotides) under uncultured bacterium. Its description in RNAcentral is "bacterial SSU rRNA". It matches the Rfam family "Bacterial small subunit ribosomal RNA", at positions 8 to 496 of the family's 1533-position model. The record is from RNAcentral.
AGAGUUUGAUCAUGGCUCAGGACGAACGCUGGCGGCGUGCUUAACACAUGCAAGUCGAACGGGGCACCUUUGAAAGAGACUUCGGUCAAUGGAUGAGACUGCCUAGUGGCGGACGGGUGAGUAACGCGUGAGGAACCUGCCUUUCAGAGGGGGACAACAGUUGGAAACGACUGCUAAUACCGCAUGAUGCAUGAUCAGGGCAUCCUGGACAUGCCAAAGAUUUAUCGCUGAAAGAUGGCCUCGCGUCUGAUUAGGUAGUUGGUGAGGUAACGGCCCACCAAGCCGACGAUCAGUAGCCGACCUGAGAGGGUGAUCGGCCACAUUGGGACUGAGACACGGCCCAAACUCCUACGGGAGGCAGCAGUGGGGAAUAUUGCACAAUGGGGGAAACCCUGAUGCAGCGACGCCGCGUGAGUGAAGAAGUAUUUCGGUAUGUAAAGCUCUAUCAGCAGGGAAGAGAAUGACGGUACCUGAGUAAGAAGCCCCGG